CACACAAAAGCAUCUUCAGCUACCCAGGCAUCCUGCCUGCUUGGAGUGCAUGGGUUUGAAAAACAGGACACCGCCACUGAUAUUUUGGACAAUGUGCCUGAUAACAAGGCUUCUCUGUGCCACUGCUCUUCUCAGAUCUUUUACUGCUUUGGAAAGGAAGCCAAGGAACCAAGAUGUUCUCAGUAUCUGUUGAAGCAGCUGAACAAAUUCAAAUUCCUCCACCUGCCUCUAGAACUCAGCAGAAGCCUGCUUUAUGCCUCUUCUGUGCUACUAGGACUGGGCUAAUGAAACAGGCUUCUUCCUGGGUCCUCAAGGUCUGCUUGAGCAUGAAGUUUUAUGUUCCAUCAUUUCUGAGCAGCUGUGAAUCCCUGUCACCAAAGAGAUCUUCUACAAAGGACCAAGAUGACAUCCUGGCUCCCAAAGGAAGGGAAGAAGAAGGAACCACCACAGCAAAACCAGACCACAAACAAUCCAGAUGAAGAAAAACAAGAGAAGUUCUCCUCAUUGUUGUCGGUUGCUGUAAUGCAAGAGUCCUCCAUCUUGUUUGAAAUCACCUUUCUCCAGAAGUCAAAGUAUUGUGGAAAUCACAGGCAGUUCCAGCUGGAGACAAAUACCUGCAAGCACGUGUUAAUCUUGCAGCAGCUAUAGAAUAUGGGAUGGUGUCAGUUGAUUUAGAUUGAAUCCAUAGAUGUGGCUCUUUUUUUUUUUUUUUAAAUUGAUUUUGGCUUCUCCUUAUUAAUAUUCAAGGAGGCUUGAGGUGCUAGGAAAUGAAAUAAUAUAAUAAUAUAGCUAUCAGGGUCAGGCUUUUUUCUCUUCAUUGACUUUGCCUACAGGAUUCCUACACAGGAAGUCCAACAGGGCUGGAAAAUAGGAUCCACAUCUUCAAAACCUUAGCCCUACAUCUUUAUCCAAUGGAAUAGAUUUUGAGUGAAAGAAGUGUCAUAAGAAGUAAGAGGCAAUGCUGGAAAGCAGUUUCCAGUUGCUAUGAUAUGGCAGUCUUUCUGCUUCUUAGUAGCUAGCUGAUAUAAAUAAUGUUCUGAUCUGCCUAAUGUUUUGAAUUUGUAUUUGCUAAAGGCAGAGUACAUUCCUUCUCACAUGAGGACAUGCUGAAGAGAGUCAUUCAAGAGAAACCAUAACACUCUUUGCAAGUCUCAUAUUCUUUGCUAUGUCCUGAACACUAUAGCAUUUAUACAAAUAGAGACAGCUGCAAUCCCUUCCGGACACAGUUUUAUGUCAGAACAGCAAUAGAGAACUAAAAAAAAGAACAAAAAAAAGAAAAAGGAACAUAUUAAAGUUUAAAGCUUGCGGUUUGGUGUUCCAAGUUCCUGUUUCCCUCCAAAUCAUUCGGAAAAAUACUCCUUUCACCUCCUUUUGAAGAAAUGGAAUUAGGAACCUCCAGGCACUUCCCUCUUGGGUUAAUUUCUGGAAGUUGUAAGAACACCAAAAUAGCUUAGAGAGACUUACAGAAAGGAGGUAGUGUCCAAUGAGAUUCACUAGUCAACUUUUCAUUUGUGCAAGGAAUAAGAGAAUUCCUGCUGGAAUGGAUCAGAUACGGAGUUAUCUCCCUAGAAGAGGAAGGAUCCUGCAGCAAUUGCAGCAGGCAGCGUUAUAUCCAUUGCAGCAAUUUCAAGGGACUCUUCAUGGCUUAUACUGGAUGCACUCUGCACAGCAGAGCGUCUCCCCAGACUGACUCACCAAAGGUUUCUGUAGCCCUGCCAGGUCCUGAAAAGUCAUUUGGCCCCAGUUCCUUGCCUCUGACCAGGUAACAAAACUGGUUCUAUUCAUUUAAGGACUCUCACUUUACAAACACAUUUUAAGUGACGGAGAGACAUGACAACCUAGUAUUUAUGGCAAGUAACAAAACGUAAGUCUUUUUUACUUUUCAUUUAUCUCUCAUAUGCAUAUACAUACAGAUCUUCUCUUGUAUCUCACAGGUUUAAGAUCACCAGAGCUUAAUAAACAGCCCAUAAAGAAAAUAACCA
RNAcentral lists this long non-coding RNA (1982 nucleotides) under Calidris pugnax (ruff). Its description in RNAcentral is "lncRNA (ENSCPUG00000009643.1)". The record is from RNAcentral. Lineage: Eukaryota; Metazoa; Chordata; Aves; Charadriiformes; Scolopacidae.